GAUUUGCAAUCAGUGGGUCUGUCUACAAAGGGAGGAUGGAGAACACUCCUCGACGCUGGAUGAUUACUACAGCUUGCUUUUGGAACGUUUUUGGACUUAUGUGACUUCUCUGGAUUACUCAACUGUGCCCCCAAAGGAUUUCCGGACGCAGCUCUCACCGUUCUCUAUUCCUCCUGGCCGGCCCGCUCUCCUGCUCUCCUCUUGCUCCCUCUCCUGGACACCCCAAUUGGAUUCACCCCGGCACCCAACCUACCCUCCCUCAUUCCUACGCUCCCCUACUCCCAACGCUGCACUCCCGUUCUCGAUCUCCCCUGGGCUUUUCCAGUGCACCUUCAGUUCCCGUUUUAAAAUAAAGAUUCUUUUUUUUACCAUAAGAUCUGUGAGUGUGUGAUUCUGCAUGUCUUGGGUUAAACGCAUUCCCCAAACCAUGUUAAGCACUUCUAUUUGUUGUUUUAAAGACGUGUUCAAGUCAUUUAGAACAGAGGAAAGGGCCGCAGCGAACUCUGCUUCAGUCGCUAUGUUUAUGACAGACUCGGCAUUGUGGUGUUUACGUACGAUACUCAGCUCUGAUUGGCUCGGUUAGAAUUCUCAGGGGGUGGGGUUAUUUCAGUAGGAGAGUUCCCAGACCCUUUCUCUCUGCAGAAUUAAACAGAGGAGGAGUCUGGCAGGCCAGGCUGACCAUCAAGGUUAAAUGUCUCCUCAUCAGAGCACUGGUGAAGGUUCUCAGUCAUCCAGCUCAUGGUAAUCCAAAAGAGUUUGAAGGAAGGCAACUUCAUUCCUGCCUUUGGAUUCUCAUCAGAGAAUAAAACUGUCUUCCAGUAAAACAUUUGGUGCUUUCUUGCAAAGUCCAAAAGUGCCUCUAGGGAGGGGGGUUGGGGCUUCUCCACCAGCAGUCUCCCUUGGGUCUCUGCAGUCCGGGGUAGCCCUCUGUGGUUUGGAACUCCUCCAUCUUCCACGGGUCUUUGGGGGCAGGUCUGUGGUUCAUCAUACUCACUAUCGAACACUCCUAUAGAGAAACCUCACACACACGGUGCUCUUGCAAAUAUGGACUUGGGCAUUUUUGACACAUUACCUAAGGCUAUGGUUGGCACUAAAUGCACUAUGAAUUAUUACCGUGUACUUUUCAGCAAAAAUUGUUACUUUUAUAUUUCCUCACUCAGUUGGCGCAGUGAUAUUUUGGUUCUGUUGUAUUUUUAUAUGUCAGGUCUAGAAGUGGAUUCUUGCACAUCCUUGUUUAUUUUUGUGAACAUUGUGUGAACUCUUUGUAGGUCAAGGAUCGUUCAGUGUCUUGAUGGACAGCCAAUUCAAUUGCCCAGCUCUUUUUGGGGUUUCUACUUGACUUGUUUUGUUCCAUAAUUCUCAGUAUCAUUUUAAAAAUUCCCCAAAACUGUCUUACUGCAUCCCACCUUAGCAGCGUGUGCUAAUGCAGUUCAAUUCAAUUCAAUUUUAUUUAUAUAGCGCCAA
Long non-coding RNA from Nothobranchius furzeri (turquoise killifish), 1464 nucleotides. RefSeq lists it as uncharacterized. The record is from RefSeq and is a predicted model, not a curated record. Lineage: Eukaryota; Metazoa; Chordata; Actinopteri; Cyprinodontiformes; Nothobranchiidae.